Molecule: long non-coding RNA, 2828 nt
Organism: Triticum aestivum (bread wheat)
Lineage: Eukaryota; Viridiplantae; Streptophyta; Magnoliopsida; Poales; Poaceae
Exons: 3
Source: RefSeq, a predicted model, not a curated record
UCUCUCUCCUUAUCCACUCUCUUUCCUUAUCCACUCCCACAGCCACACCACUUGUUUUACUCAGCUCGAGAGUGAGGAGGAGGACGAGCGCCGCGGUGCUCGUCGAUGCGAAGCUCUAGGACGGCGCACUCCGGGUCCCCGCCGACCGGCUCAAGCGGGGCGAGUGGCCGCAGCGGCCGUCGAGGCCGCCUCCGUCUGCGCGCACAUCGACUGCUCAACCUGGCGGCCAUCAUCGAGUUUGGCGCGCUCCGGGUCCGCGCCGACCGACUCAACGGGGCGACGUGGGCGGAGAGCGAGCGCCGCCUGCUUGCCCGCGCCGCCGCGGCGAGCGCGGACGUCGAGGCCGCCUCCGUCUGUGCGCACCUAGCCGCCGUCCAUGGCCACUGAUGUGGCUGCUCUAGUCGCUCGGUGCGACUAUCACCUCCGAUGCGGCUGGGCGUCCUUGCCGCGGCCGCAGCCGGGGGGGGGGGGGGGGGGGCAGCGCACCCUAUGGCUUCAAGAUUGUGGAGGCGCACUACUCGAUGACGGGCGUGGCGGUCCUCCGCAUCAUGUUUUUGCUGCAAGGCUGCAGGGAGUCCAUGCUCGUCGUUGUUCGCCAGGUGACGCCGCAGCCGCAGGUCGAGCUUGACCACCACGGUGGCGAACUGCAAAAGGCAUUUGGAUCCUUCCACUGCAGUUAUUGGGUUCUUUGUACGCUUUGAAGAUGAUAGUGUCGAUUCAGCAAAAGUGGUCAAACAGUGGAAUGUCAAAAUCAUAUCUAUAAGCAAGAAUAAAAGGCAUCAAGACAGACCGGCUGCUCUGGAGGUGUGGGAUCGGCUGGAUGAAUUUGUGCGGGUCGUACGUGUCUCUCUGGCUUAAUGACGCGGUGCUGCUGCUGCUACAAGACGCUACCAAAAUUUUAAAUUAAGAAUUUGUUGGUGGUGAUUCAUUUUAAUUUUAUUGGCACGUUGCAUCUUUCAACAAGCUAAUGUUUGGUAUGACAAAACUACAGGGAACGGCACAUCCUCAUAUUACAAAGAUAGAAUCUAUAAGGUUUUACUCUUUUGUCCAUUCUGAUUAUGUUUUCUUGAAGCAAGACUUAAUUACUCCAUGGUCCAUACAGUGAUAGUUCAUACACAGCCUAACAGUAUUUCCUUGACAUUUUGUUUUCUUUCAUUUUCAACUCCCAGUUGUUUAUACAGAAUUAUAGAUAUAAUAGUAGAAGUCGUCAGUGACAACUUCCUGCUGCACCUGCUUCUUACCACGGGCACAUGCAUGCAAAGGUUCUGUCAAAAGCCAUCUACGCAUGUGUUUUUCCACUCCAUAUCACCGAAAAGCAACGGUAUGUUUCUGGUGCCACCACCAACAGGUAUUGUUAGUUCUGUUGCCUCCAAUCUUAGUAGUAGUCGUCUCUCUGCAUCUCAGUCAAAUUGUACACUUUCAACUUUCUCAAGCAUUCGGCCAAAGUGGAGAUCAAUAUAACAACUAGCAUAAUUGCUUGCUUUCAUACAGCAAGGUAUGAACAUAGCUAUGCAUUUUGCUAGUCUCCUUGGAAAUUUCUUAUUUAUCUUUCCUAAGGUGUUGAUUAGAUUUAUUUUUUUGUCUGAAAAAUCAUAAAGGAAAGAAACAAAUAAAUCCCUACAAGUUGUUGUCGCUCAUACUUGUGAACUAUUUUUAGCAGUAGUAUAAAAAUAUCAUUUGUUAUCACUAAUGGGAUAAGUAGAAUUUGGUUAUCUAAUAGGAGUUAUUUUUAUUUUUAUUUAUCUUUCCUAAGGUGUUGAUUUGAUUAAAAAUCUGAUUCAUCAUAAAGGAAAGACUCUGGGUUGUUAUCGCUCAUUUUGUGAACUAUUUUAGCGGUAGUCUAAAAAUACCAUCUGUGGUCACUAAUGAGAUCAAGGGAAUUUGGUUAUCUAAUAGUUGUAUUUAUUUUAUUCCAAACUCGCACGCUAGAAUUAGUAGCUUCAUUUGUUUUCGUUUGUGCACCUGCCAGCAAUAAUAUUUUUUAAGCAAUAUUAAAGAGCUGGUCCAUUGCUGAAAACUAAUUUCAUUUUCUCACCGUGUAUGCAAUUUUGCACUAUUUAUUUAAUGAAAACUUCAAUCCUGUCUUGCAUCAAUCUUCAUCUUGCAAAAUUAAAUCACCUCUCCAAUAUCUGCCUCUAACAAAUACUCAUGUUUAUCAAAUCAUCUUUAGUAUUCAUGUAUAUGAGAACCAUCUUCAGUGCUAUAUGGCAAUAUGACUAAUCUUCAAAGUACAUAUACUGCAAAUCCCGUCUUUUUUAGUGCGUGUACUUAACUGCAAUGCCAAUUUGUUGUGAACAUCCCAAAAUAGACAGUGUUACAUUAGUAAAGAAAAACAACUUUCUUAUGGUUACUGAAACCAAUCCGUUUAAUAUUUAGAAGCUCACGCAACAUGUCCCGCAGCAACGCGCGGGGUAUCCAUCUAGUAUAUACAUGGAUGUGCGUACAUGGCCAGGACUUAUGUACGUGUCCGACCUGCCCUCUUUUACUUUUUCUUAGCAUGAGGCAUGGACAACUGCUUAUGUGUGUACGUGAUCAUGACUCUUUUUGACGGGCUAUUUCUAAUUCUUUCUAUUUUUUUAAGGGAAUAUUUCUAAUUCCUUAUAUGUCCCAUUUUGUAGAUUUGCUUCAGAUCACGGAACCUUGGGUUGAUGGAGUGCUUGUCUUUAGUUUUUGUUUUGACUUUGUGAAACUUGCUACCUAUGAUGAAACUGUGUAAUAUUGAUGAAACUAUGUAUAUGUAUGGAUGAAACUUGCUACUAUUGGUAAACUAUUGGUAACAUGUGUUGUAUAUGUGUUCGAUAUAUAUGUGUUCAUGACUAUUGGUAAUA